RNAcentral lists this long non-coding RNA (1236 nucleotides) under Gallus gallus (chicken). Lineage: Eukaryota; Metazoa; Chordata; Aves; Galliformes; Phasianidae. The record is from RNAcentral.
CCCCUGUUCAACCGCAGAGUAGUCCUACGCACUGCUUCUACCUAGAGUAAUCUUCAUCAUCCAUCAUCUGUAAUUGUAGACAGUCACAUCUUCCACUGUGACUCAAGGUGCAGCUACAAGUAGAGAAGUGCUAAGGUUCUCAGUCACUUCAAAUACACUUGUUGAAGACUGCUUCUAGUGCAUAAUCAAAUUGAAAAUCCCAUUAUCGAUCAUAACGGUUUGUCAAUAACUGUAACACCUGCAUAGCUCCUUCCUGUACUCAUACAAGAUGACACAACUGUCCAUUUAUCAGUUGUUGGAUUAUAAUAUUCCACUGUUGAUAAAUUACAGGAACCAUCAUCUCCUCCAACUACAUACAAGAGACCAUUUACAGCACAAACGCCUGCGUUUCUUCUGCACAUGUUCAUAUCUGCAACCUGCUUCCACGUACAGGUGACAGGAUUGAACACUUCCACGCUUUUUCUUACCAAAGGACCAUCAUGACCACCUACUGCAUACAGUAAAUUGUUUAACACACCAACACCUGCUCCACUCCGUCUAGUGCUCAUUUCUGCAACAUAGCUCCACUCAUUUGUAUUGGCAUCAUAGCAUUCGACUGAACUAAGGCACUGACGUGAUGCCCCAUCAUAGCCACCAACUGCAUACAGUUUACCUCCAACAACACCCACUCCAACACUACUUCUUCUUGUGUUCAUUGGAGCUACAUGAAACCACUCAUUAGUCUUUAAGUUGUAAACUUCAACUGAUGAUAAACCUGUACUCCCAUCAAAUCCUCCCACAGCAUAGAGAAGUCCAUUUAAUACAGCUGCUCCCAGUGUGCUUCUCCUGUCUUGCAUAUUAGCAACACUUGUCCACUGGUCCUUCACUGGAUCAUAAGAAUCUACUGUGCGAACUCUUAAUGAACCAUUGAAACCACCAACAGCAUAAACCAUGCCUCCCAUGUACACCAUUCCUGCUCUACAUCUUCUGGAAGGCAACUCAGCCACCUGAUGCCAGCGUUCUUCUUUAAAAUCAUAGCAUUCAACACUGCGAAUUGCCUUUGGUGCCUGUCCUCCAACUACCAUCAUCAAUUUUGGAAGGCUAACAGGCGUUCUCAGUUUCGUUCGAGUGCUUUUCAUCAGCGCUCGUUGCUCAGUUGGCAGCAAGUGAUACUUCAUAGCUUCAAUGAGGUAAUCCUUACAAGCACUGCUGUUCUUAACCAAUAUUUCCUCUUCAACCCUCUGAACUAAAUACUCC